Molecule: transfer RNA, 79 nt
Filed under: Aeneator otagoensis
Lineage: Eukaryota; Metazoa; Mollusca; Gastropoda; Neogastropoda; Buccinidae
Also listed under: 1 other name
Description: tRNA-Arg
Source: RNAcentral
GUGUAAAAAGCGAGAAAUUUGCAUUCGGUUUCGGCCCGUAUUUUGGAGGUGAAAGUCCUUCUUUAUAUUAUUUAAAUAA